GUUUCCUUCGUCUAGACGGCCAAGGACACUGGGCUCUCAAUCCAGGAACACGGGUUCGAAUCCCGUAGGAAACGCCA
Molecule: transfer RNA, 77 nt
Filed under: Labilithrix sp.
Lineage: Bacteria; Pseudomonadati; Myxococcota; Polyangiales; Labilitrichaceae
Description: tRNA-Glu
Rfam family: tRNA
About the family: Transfer RNA (tRNA) molecules are approximately 80 nucleotides in length. Their secondary structure includes four short double-helical elements and three loops (D, anti-codon, and T loops). Further hydrogen bonds mediate the characteristic L-shaped molecular structure. tRNAs have two regions of fundamental functional importance: the anti-codon, which is responsible for specific mRNA codon recognition, and the 3' end, to which the tRNAs corresponding amino acid is attached (by aminoacyl-tRNA synthetases). tRNAs cope with the degeneracy of the genetic code in two manners: having more than one tRNA (with a specific anti-codon) for a particular amino acid; and 'wobble' base-pairing, i.e. permitting non-standard base-pairing at the 3rd anti-codon position.
Source: RNAcentral